GUGCUUUCUUUGGCAGCACAUAUAGUAAAAAAUUGGGAUGAUACAGAGAAUAUUAGUAUGGCCCCUGCGCAAGAAGGACAGGCAAAUUCCUGAAGCAUUCCAUAUUUUU
RNAcentral lists this small nuclear RNA (109 nucleotides) under Catagonus wagneri (Chacoan peccary). Lineage: Eukaryota; Metazoa; Chordata; Mammalia; Artiodactyla; Tayassuidae. The record is from RNAcentral.